This 55-nucleotide transfer RNA is filed under the name Nematodirus spathiger. RNAcentral describes it as "tRNA-Cys". Lineage: Eukaryota; Metazoa; Nematoda; Chromadorea; Rhabditida; Molineidae. The record is from RNAcentral.
GCUUUAUUAUUAUAUUUAGUAUAUUUAAUUGCAAAUUAAAUGGUGUUAUAAAGCU